GUAGGUGGCAGGCGUUGUCCGGAAUUAUUGGGCGUAAAGCGCGCGCAGGUGGUUCUUUAAGUCUGAUGUGAAAGCCCCCGGGCUCAACCGGGGAGGGUCAUUGGAAACUGGGGAACUUGAGUGCAGGAGAGGAAAGUGGAAUUCCACGUGUAGCGGUGAAAUGCGUAGAUAUGUGGAGGAACACCAGUGGCGAAGGCGACUUUCUGGCCUGUAACUGACACUGAGGCGCGAAAGCGUGGGGAGCAAACAGGAUUAGAUACCCUGGUAGUCCACGCCGUAAACGAUGAGUGCUAAGUGUUGGGGGGUUUCCGCCCCUCAGUGCUGCAGCUAACGCAUUAAGCACUCCGCCUGGGGAGUACGGUCGCAAAGACUG
RNAcentral lists this ribosomal RNA (373 nucleotides) under uncultured organism. RNAcentral's name for it is "partial 16S ribosomal RNA". It matches the Rfam family "Bacterial small subunit ribosomal RNA", at positions 527 to 896 of the family's 1533-position model. The record is from RNAcentral.